RNAcentral lists this ribosomal RNA (306 nucleotides) under Amblyomma lepidum. RNAcentral's name for it is "partial 12S ribosomal RNA". Lineage: Eukaryota; Metazoa; Arthropoda; Arachnida; Ixodida; Ixodidae. The record is from RNAcentral.
GUAAAUACAAUUUAUGAAAGCAAAAAAUUAUGGCGGUACUUUAAGCUUUUCAGAGGAAUUUGCUCUGUAAUGGAUAAAACACCUAAAUCUUACUAAAAUUUGUUAAAUCAGUUUGUAUACCACUAUUAAAGUAGUAUUUCAUAACUAUUACUUAAAUUUUUUAAAAAAAUAAAUUAAGUCAAGGUGCAGCAAAAGUUUUAGGAUGAAGUGAAUUACAAUUCUUUUUAGUUUUUAAAAUUUUUUUAAAAAAAUUUUAAAAUAGGAUUUGAAAGUAAAAAAUCAUUAUUAUGGCUUUUUGAAUAAAGU